This 440-nucleotide ribosomal RNA is filed under the name uncultured bacterium. RNAcentral's name for it is "partial 16S ribosomal RNA". It matches the Rfam family "Bacterial small subunit ribosomal RNA", at positions 338 to 795 of the family's 1533-position model. The record is from RNAcentral.
CCUACGGGGGGCAGCAGUGGGGGAUAUUGCACAAUGGGGGAAACCCUGAUGCAGCGACGCCGCGUGUGGGAAGACGGUCCUCUGGGUUGUAAACCACUGUCCCCAGGGACGAAGAUGACGGUACCUGGGGAGGAAGCUCCGGCUAACUACGUGCCAGCAGCCGCGGUAAUACGUAGGGAGCGAGCGUUGUCCGGAAUUACUGGGUGUAAAGGGAGCGUAGGCGGGACUGCAAGUUGGGGGUCAAAUCUACGGGCUCAACCGGUAGCCGCACUCAAAACUGCAGUUCUUGAGUGAAGUAGAGGCAGGCGGAAGUCCUAGUGUAGCGGUGAAAUGCGUAGAUAUUAGGAGGAACACCAGUGGCGAAGGCGGCCUGCUGGGCUUUUACUGACGCUGAGGCUCGAAAGUGUGGGGAGCAAACAGGAUUAGAUACCCCUGUAGUC